CCUACGGGCGGCUGCAGUGGGGAAUAUUGGACAAUGGAGGCAACUCUGACCCAGCCACGCCGCGUGAAUGAUGAAGGUCUUCGGAUUGUAAAGUUCUGUGAUGGGGGAUGAACACAAUGACGGUACCCCAAUAGCAAGCCACGGCUAACUACGGGCCAGCAGCCGCGGUAAUACGUAGGGGGCAAGCGUUAUCCGGAAUGACUGGGCGUAAGGGGCGCGUAGGUGGUUUAGUAAGUUGGCGGUGAAAUUCCGGGGCUCAACCUCGGCGCUACCGCCAAGACUAUUAGACUAGAGUGCUGGAGAGGUAAGUGGAAUUCCUAGUGUAGCGGUGGAAUGCGUAGAUAUGAGGAGGAACAUCAGGGGCGAAGGCGACUUACUGGACUGUAACUGACACUGAGGUACGAAAGCGUGGGGAACAAACAGGAUUAGAUACCCCAGUAGUC
RNAcentral lists this ribosomal RNA (443 nucleotides) under uncultured bacterium. RNAcentral describes it as "partial 16S ribosomal RNA". It matches the Rfam family "Bacterial small subunit ribosomal RNA", at positions 338 to 795 of the family's 1533-position model. The record is from RNAcentral.